Schistosoma mansoni is the source of this 46-nucleotide non-coding RNA. The record is from Rfam. NCBI's taxonomy places the organism in Eukaryota, Metazoa, Platyhelminthes, Trematoda, Strigeidida, Schistosomatidae.
GUACUGCUGAGGAGUCCCAUAAUAGGACGAAACGGCCGUCCAGUGC